RNAcentral lists this long non-coding RNA (299 nucleotides) under Malus domestica (apple). RNAcentral's name for it is "long non-coding RNA (MDOM_LNC010626)". The record is from RNAcentral. Lineage: Eukaryota; Viridiplantae; Streptophyta; Magnoliopsida; Rosales; Rosaceae.
GACUUCUCCUCGUAGCCCAGCUUGAAUAUUUUCCAUUCCAUGUGUUAUCUUUUCCUUAUGCUGCUUUUUAUUUUUUAAUAAUGUGGUGAUGAAUGCCUUCACUUCUGGGGGGACAUUAUCGCAUCGUUGGACAUUAUUUCCUGGAUCUAAUCCACUAAGAUGGUACUUAAGCCGUGUCACUCCGCCUCUCUUCAUUACCCGACCACAAUAUUUGCAAAUUGUGCCAUGUUUGUUUCCGUCUAUUGGGUCUCCAUGUUCCCAAGCUGGAUCACGUUUAGGAACUCCACUGGACAUCUUAA